Molecule: ribosomal RNA, 388 nt
Filed under: uncultured bacterium
Lineage: Bacteria
Description: bacterial SSU rRNA
Rfam family: Bacterial small subunit ribosomal RNA
Source: RNAcentral
AAUGAACGCUGGCGGCGCGCCUAAUACAUGCAAGUCGAGCGAGAAGACGUAGCAAUACGUUUGUAAAGCGGCGAACGGGUGAGGAAUACAUGGGUAACCUACCCUAGAGUGGGGAAUAACUAGCCGAAAGGUUAGCUAAUACCGCGUACGCUCCUUGGACUUCGGUUCAGGGAGGAAAGCGAUGCCGAGGGUAUCGCGCUCUUGGAUGGGCUCAUGUCCUAUCAGCUUGNGGUGAGGUAACGGCUCACCAAGGCUUCGACGGGUAGCUGGUCUGAGAGGACGAUCAGCCACACUGGCACUGCGACACGGGCCAGACUCCUACGGGAGGCGGCAGUAAGGAAUAUUGCGCAAUGGGCGAAAGCCUGACGCAGCGACGCCGCGUGGGGGA